GCAGUAGCCGCGGGAAUACGUAAGGUGCGAGCGUUAAUCGGAAUUACUGGGCGUAAAGCGUGCGCAGGCGGUUGUGUAAGACAGGUGUGAAAUCCCCGGGCUUAACCUGGGAACUGCGCUUGUGACUGCACAGCUAGAGUAUGGCAGAGGGGGGUGGAAUUCCACGUGUAGCAGUGAAAUGCGUAGAGAUGUGGAGGAACACCGAUGGCGAAGGCAGCCCCCUGGGCCAAUACUGACGCUCAUGCACGAAAGCGUGGGGAGCAAACAGGAUUAGAUACCCGAGUAGUCCCUGUCUCUUAUAC
This 302-nucleotide ribosomal RNA is filed under the name uncultured bacterium. Its description in RNAcentral is "partial 16S ribosomal RNA". It matches the Rfam family "Bacterial small subunit ribosomal RNA", at positions 508 to 807 of the family's 1533-position model. The record is from RNAcentral.